UGGACGUAUAGGGUGUGAUGCCUGCCCGGUGCUGGAAGGUUAAUUGAUGGGGUUAGCGUAAGCGAAGCUCUUGAUCGAAGCCCCAGUAAACGGCGGCCGUAACUAUAACGGUCCUAAGGUAGCGAAAUUCCUUGUCGGGUAAGUUCCGACCUGCACGAAUGGCAUAAUGAUGGCGGCGCUGUCUCCAGCAGAGGCUCAGUGAAAUCGAAAUCGCUGUGAAGAUGCAGUGUACCCGCGGCUAGACGGAAAGACCCCGUGAACCUUUACUGCAGCUUGACACUGAACUUUGACCUUACUUGUGUAGGAUAGGUGGGAGGCUUUGAAGUUGGAACGCUAGUUCCAAUGGAGCCGUCCUUGAAAUACCACCCUGGUAAUGUUGAGGUUCUAACUCUGUCCCGUUAUCCGGGACGAGGACCGUGUCUGGUGGGUAGUUUGACUGGGGCGGUCUCCUCCUAAAGAGUAACGGAGGAGUACGAAGGUGCGCUCAGCGUGGUCGGAAAUCACGCGUAGAGUAUAAAGGCAAAAGCGCGCUUAACUGCGAGACCCACAAGUCGAGCAGGUACGAAAGUAGGUCUUAGUGAUCCGGUGGUUCUGUAUGGAAGGGCCAUCGCUCAACGGAUAAAAGGUACUCUGGGGAUAACAGGCUGAUACCGCCCAAGAGUUCAUAUCGACGGCGGUGUUUGGCACCUCGAUGUCGGCUCAUCUCAUCCUGGGGCUGAAGCAGGUCCCAAGGGUAUGGCUGUUCGCCAUUUAAAGAGGUACGCGAGCUGGGUUUAGAACGUCGUGAGACAGUUCGGUCCCUAUCUACCGUGGGCGCUGGAAAUUUGAGAGGAUCUGCUCCUAGUACGAGAGGACCAGAGUGGACGAACCUCUGGUGUACCGGUUGUGACGCCAGUCGCAUCGCCGGGUAGCUAUGUUCGGAAGGGAUAACCGCUGAAAGCAUCUAAGCGGGAAGCCUACCUCAAGAUAAGAUUUCCCUAGGAAUUUAUUCCUCUAAAGAGCCGUUCGAGACUAGGACGUUGAUAGGUUGGAUGUGGAAGCAUAGUGAUAUGUGAAGCUGACCAAUACUAAUUGCUCGUGAGGCUUGACUAUACAACACCCAAGCAGUUG
RNAcentral lists this ribosomal RNA (1110 nucleotides) under Acinetobacter pittii. RNAcentral's name for it is "partial 23S ribosomal RNA". It matches the Rfam family "Bacterial large subunit ribosomal RNA", at positions 1838 to 2925 of the family's 2925-position model. The record is from RNAcentral. Lineage: Bacteria; Pseudomonadati; Pseudomonadota; Gammaproteobacteria; Moraxellales; Moraxellaceae.